CCUACGGGAGGCAGCAGUGGGGAAUAUUGCACAAUGGGGGAAACCCUGAUGCAGCGACGCCGCGUGAGUGAAGAAGUAUUUCGGUAUGUAAAGCUCUAUCAGCAGGGAAGAAAUAGCGACCUUUGGGUCGCCAGACGGUACCUGACUAGGAAGCCCCGGCUAACUACGUGCCAGCAGCCGCGGUAAUACGUAGGGGGCAAGCGUUAUCCGGAUUUACUGGGUGUAAAGGGAGCGUAGACGGUUACGCAAGUCUGGAGUGAAAGGCGGGGGCCCAACCCCCGGACUGCUUUGGAAA
This 295-nucleotide ribosomal RNA is filed under the name uncultured bacterium. RNAcentral's name for it is "partial 16S ribosomal RNA". It matches the Rfam family "Bacterial small subunit ribosomal RNA", at positions 338 to 632 of the family's 1533-position model. The record is from RNAcentral.